GCGCCCGUAGCUCAAUUGGAUAGAGCACUUGACUACGGAUCAAGAGGUUGGGUGUUCGACUCACCCCGGGCGCA
This 74-nucleotide transfer RNA is filed under the name Candidatus Omnitrophota bacterium. RNAcentral describes it as "tRNA-Arg". It matches the Rfam family "tRNA". From Rfam's summary of the family: Transfer RNA (tRNA) molecules are approximately 80 nucleotides in length. The record is from RNAcentral. Lineage: Bacteria; Pseudomonadati; Candidatus Omnitrophota.